AUGCAUGUCUCAGUACAAACCGCUUUAAGGCGAAACCGCGAAUGGCUCAUUAAAUCAGUUAUGGUUCCUUGGAUCUUACCCACACUUACAUGGAUAACUGUGGUAAUUCUAGAGCUAAUACAUGAACCUCGUGCCCCGACCAGUGAUGGAAGGGGUGCUUUUAUUAGAACAAAACCAAUCGGUCGGUCCUCCGUCCGUUGCCUUGGUGACUCUGAAUAACUUUUGGCUGAUCGCACGGUCCUAGCACCGGCGACGCAUCUUUCAAAUGUCUGCCUUAUCAACUUUCGAUGGUAGGUUCUGCGCCUACCAUGGUUGUAACGGGUGACGGGGAAUCAGGGUUCGAUCCCGGAGAGGGAGCCUGAGAAACGGCUACCACAUCCAAGGAAGGCAGCAGGCGCGCAAAUUACCCACUCCCGGAACGGGGAGGUAGUGACGAAAAAUAACGAUACGGGACUCAUCCGAGGCCCCGUAAUCGGAAUGAGAACACUUUAAAUCCUUUAACGAGGAUCUAUUGGAGGGCAAGUCUGGUGCCAGCAGCCGCGGUAAUUCCAGCUCCAAUAGCGUAUAUUAAAGUUGUUGCGGUUAAAAAGCUCGUAGUCGGAGGUGUGUCUCGGACGGUCGGUUCGCCGCUUGCCGGUGUUCAACUGGCCGGUCCGGACGUCCUGCCGGUGGGGCCGCGAGGCUCCGUUAUCCUUCUUUGGUCCUCUUCACCGAGUGCCUUGGUGGGCCGGCACGUUUACUUUGAACAAAUUAGAGUGCUCAAAGCAGGCCGUUGGUCGCCUGAAUACUGUGUGCAUGGAAUAAUGGAAUAGGACCUCGGUUCCAUUUUGUUGGUUUUCAGAACUCGAGGUAAUGAUUAAUAGGGACGGACCGGGGGCAUUCGUAUUGCGACGUUAGAGG
RNAcentral lists this ribosomal RNA (900 nucleotides) under Heliocypha bisignata. RNAcentral describes it as "SSU rRNA". It matches the Rfam family "Eukaryotic small subunit ribosomal RNA", at positions 51 to 911 of the family's 1831-position model. The record is from RNAcentral. Lineage: Eukaryota; Metazoa; Arthropoda; Insecta; Odonata; Chlorocyphidae.